ACAAAACCUACUGAUGUGGGUACCCAAGCAGGAACCCCCCUCUUGCACCGGCGACUCACGUGGGAAGAAGAAUUCACUGAGCUGAAAUGGAGUGAGAGCUAAGAUGCUCUCAGAAUAUUCUUAAAAUGACUGUGCUGCAAAGAAGCCCGGGUGAAUAGAAGAAAAUAGAAGGAAUGGUGGAUACAAGUGAAGGUUAAAAUGAGACCCCAUUUAUCGCACCAGCUGUUGGUGAUUUCAGCGCACCUUUCCAAGCCUCUUGAGAGUUCUGCUCUAACCACACUGCCCCCUAGUGUUCUCUCGCUUUGGUGCAACGUUUCUCAUACUUCCGGAGAAAUAGAAAGCACCAGAUGACAGCCACCACACACUUUUGUCCCCAUUGCAAUAGGAUGCUUCUAACAAUCGUAAAAUUAUGAAACACUGAAUUCCUUAAAAGUUGUCCAUUUGUGGAUUUAUCUGAUGGUAACUAUUAAAUAUUUAAAAGUAACUUUAAUGAAUCUACUUAUGAUGAUUGAGUAAUCUAUUCUCUGAAUUCCACCAAAAAACCAUUUUAUGACCACAGUCAUAACGAACAUAUUUCUAUAGUCCUAAGCUGGCAAGAUAAAUAGAGAACAGUUCAUAAUAUAAACAAUAUAUUUAUUUAUUCCUAAACUAAUAAGAUGACUAUCAAUCUGUAAGAGACUAUGAAAAUCAAUACCGUAUACUUGGUAUAGUUGGUGAGAAUUUCAGGAGCAUGUUUGUUCUUUUAUUUGUGUUU
RNAcentral lists this long non-coding RNA (754 nucleotides) under Homo sapiens (human). Its description in RNAcentral is "HSALNT0392597". The record is from RNAcentral. Lineage: Eukaryota; Metazoa; Chordata; Mammalia; Primates; Hominidae.